RNAcentral lists this ribosomal RNA (1374 nucleotides) under uncultured bacterium. RNAcentral describes it as "partial 16S ribosomal RNA". It matches the Rfam family "Bacterial small subunit ribosomal RNA", at positions 21 to 1399 of the family's 1533-position model. The record is from RNAcentral.
GGCUCAGGACGAACGCUGGCGGCGUGCCUAACACAUGCAAGUCGAGCGAAGUGCUUAGGACUGAUUCUUUCGGGAUGAAGUCUUAAGUAUCUUAGCGGCGGACGGGUGAGUAACGCGUGAGAAACCUGCCUUUUACAAAGGAAUAGCCUCGGGAAACUGGGAUUAAUACCUUAUGAUACUUUUAGUUCACCUGAACAAGAAGUUAAAGCGUAAAGCGGUAAAAGAUGGUCUCGCGUCCCAUUAGUUAGUUGGUGAGGUAAUGGCUCACCAAGACUACGAUGGGUAGCCGGCCUGAGAGGGUGAUCGGCCACACUGGAACUGAGACACGGUCCAGACUCCUACGGGAGGCAGCAGUGGGGAAUAUUGCACAAUGGAGGAAACUCUGAUGCAGCGACGUCGCGUGAACGAUGAAGGCUUUCGAGUCGUAAAGUUCUGUCCUAGGGGACGAUAAUGACGGUACCCUAGGAGGAAGCCCCGGCUAACUACGUGCCAGCAGCCGCGGUAAUACGUAGGGGGCAAGCGUUGUCCGGAUUUAUUGGGCGUAAAGGGUACGCAGGCGGCCUAUUAAGUCAGAUGUGAAAUCUUACGGCUCAACCGUAAUUAGCAUUUGAAACUGAAAGGCUUGAGUUAAGGAGAGGAAAGUGGAAUUCCUAGUGUAGCGGUGAAAUGCGUAGAUAUUAGGAGGAAUACCAGUGGCGAAGGCGACUUUCUGGACUUAUACUGACGCUGAGGUACGAAAGCGUGGGGAGCAAACAGGAUUAGAUACCCUGGUAGUCCACGCCGUAAACGAUAUAACUCGCUGUCGGCGAUACACAGUCGUGGCCAAGCGAAAGCAUUAAGUUAUUCACCUGGGGAGUACGACCGCAAGGUUGAAACUCAAAGGAAUUGACGGGGGCCCGCACAAGCGGAGGAACAUGUGGUUUAAUUCGAUGAUACGCGAGGAACCCUACCCGGGCUCGAACGGUGCAUGAAUAUACGAGAGAUGGUAUAGUCCUUCGGGACACGUAUCGAGGUGCUGCAUGGUUGUCGUCAGCUCGCGCCGUGAGGUGUCGGCUUAAGUGCCAUAACGAGCGCAACCCUCGUCAUUAGUUGCCAUCAGGUCAAGCUGGGGACUUUAAUGAGACUGCCACCGUAAGGUGUGAGGAAGGGGGGGAGGACGUCAAAUCAGCACGGCCCUUAUGUCCGGGGGGACACACGUGUUACAAUGGGAGGUACAGAGGGCAGCUAUCCGGUGACGGAAUGCUAAUCUCCAAAACCUUUCUCAGUUCGGAUUGGAGUGUGCAACUCGACUCCAUGAAGGUGGAUUCGCUAGUAAUCGCGCAUCAGCCAUGGCGCGGUGAAUAAGUUCCCGGGCCUUGUACACACCGCCCGUCA